This 2907-nucleotide long non-coding RNA is filed under the name Sus scrofa (pig). RNAcentral's name for it is "lncRNA (ENSSSCG00050002120.1)". Lineage: Eukaryota; Metazoa; Chordata; Mammalia; Artiodactyla; Suidae. The record is from RNAcentral.
AGAGCAGAGCCCGAUGGGCUGUCUCCAUGCUAAAGGGAGCCUCGAGUUGGUCUGCAUUCCAGGGAUGGAACCCAUGACACAACAGUGAACUGAGCUGUUAGAGUGACGUUGGAUCCUUAGCCCUCUGUGCUGCAAGAAAAUGCCACACUUUUAAUUUCUAUGAGGUUGGUAGUGAUAGUCCCUCUUUUGUUUUUUUAUUUUGGUGAUUUGUGUUUUUUUCUCUUUUUCUUGGUCAGUCUAGUUUUGUCAAUUUUGUUAAUCCUAACAUUUCAGUUUCAUCGUUUUGUCUUAUUGUUCUUAUGUUUUUUUCUCUUUCAUUGAUUUCUUUUCUCAUCUUUAUUAUUUACUUACUUUUGAUUGCUUUGGGGUUUAGUUUGCACUUCUUUUUUUGUUUGUUUGUUUUUUUGUUGUUUUAGGGCCGAACCCUCGGCAUAUGUAGGUUCCCAGGCUGGGGGUCUAAUCUCACCUGCAGCCGCUGGCCUACACCACAGCCACAGCAACACCAGAUCCAAGCUGAGUCUGCAACCUACACCACAGCUCACAGCAACGCUGAAUCCUUAAUCCACUGAGUGAGGCCAGGAAUUGAACCUGAAACCUUAUGGUUCAUAGUCAGAUUUGUUUCCGCUGCGCCACGCCAGGAGCUCCUGCACUUCUUUUUCUAAUGCUUACAGUGGAAGUUUAGGUUAUUGAUUUGGUAUCUUUUUUUCUAGUAUAAGUUUUUAAAGCUAUAAAUGUACUGCUAAGUACUGCUUUAACUGCAUUCUAUAAAUUGAUUCGUUAUGUGUGGUCAUUCUUUUCAAAAUACUUUAAAAUUUGCCUUGUGAUUUUUUUUUUUUGACCUAUGAGUUAUUUUAGAAAUGAUUGUUUAAUGUCCAAAUUGUUGGUGAUUUCCCAAAUUUUCUUGUGUUGUUAUUUCUUAAUUUAAUUCCAAUGUGGUUGGAGAAUAUACCUUGUAUGUUUUUAAUCCUUUUCAAUUUAUUGUUGUUUGUUUAAUGGUCUAACAUAUCAUCCAUCUUGACAAAUAUUCUCAGCAUACUUGAAAAGAAUGUGUAUUCCUGCUCUUGUUGGGUAGAGUAUUCUAAUACAUGGCAGAUUAAGUUAUUUGAUAGUGUUGUUCAAGUCUUGUAGAUAGUUGCUGAUUUCAUGCCUAGUUGCUCCGUACAUUAUUGGGAAGUCGAAUAUUAAAAUCUCUAGUUACUAUUGUUUUUUCUUUUUCCUGUACAAACUGCAUGUUCCUUAAUUUUUUCCCCUAGUGCUUUGGAAAGCAUACAUUUGAAUAAUUAAUUAUAUUUUUCUUUUGGCUUUUAAAAAUGCAUUUAACCACUUAAAUUUUUUUAAUUAAAAAAUUUUAAUUAAAGUGUAGUUAACUACAAUAUUAUAUAAGUUAUGAUGUAUGGCAUAAUGAUCCAUGCUUUUUAAAGAUUAUACUCCAUUUACAGUUAUUAUAAAAUAUUGGCUAUAUUCCCCAUGUUGUACAGUAUGUCCUUGUAGCUUAUUUUAUACAUAGUAGUUUGUACUUCUUAAUCCCCUAACCCCAUCUUGCCCCUCUCUUCUUCCCUCUCUCCUCUGGUAACCACUAGUUUGUUUUUUUACAUAUGUGAGUCUGUUUCUUUUUUGUUAUAUUCAUUAGUUUGUUGUAUUUUUAAAAUUCUCUAUAUAAGUGAUAUAGCAUGUUUGUCUUGCUCUGUCUGACUUAUUUCACUUAGUAUAAUACCCUCCAAAUUCAUCCAUGUUGUUGCAAUUGGCAAAAUUUCAUUCUUUUUAAUGGCCGAGUAGUAUUCCAUUAUGUGUGUAUGUGUAUAAAACAUUUUAUUUACUCAUUCAUCUACUGAUGGGCAAUUAUGUUACAUCCAUAGCAUGGCACCCGUAAAUAAUGCACUACAAAAAUUGGGGUUCGUGUAUCUUUUCAAAUUGAGUUUUCAGGUUUUUUUUGGAUAUGUAUCAAGGAAUGGAAUUUCUGGGACAUGCCGUAGUCUUAGUUUUCUGAGAAACUUCCUUACUGUUUUCCACAGUGGCUGCACCAAUUUUCAUUCCCUUUGUACUAGGUUUCCCUUUUUCUCCAUGUCCUCACCAGCACUUCCUAUUUGUGUUCUUUUUGAUGACAGCCAUUCUGACAGGUAUGAGGUGAUAUCUCAUUGUGGUUUUAAUUUCCAUUUCUCUGACGAUUAAUGAUGUUGAGUAUCUUUUCAUGUGCCUGUUGGCCAUCUGAAUGUCCUCUUUGGAAAAAUGUCUAUUCAGGUCUUCUGCCCAUUUUUUAACUGGGUGUUUUUUUAUUUUUUUUUAUGUUGAACUAUAUAAGCUGUUUAUAUAUUUUGGAUGUUAACCUCUUAUUGGUCAUAAGAUUUGCAAACAUUUUCUCCUGUUCAGUAAGUUGUCUUUCUUACUAUUGUGGAAUUCUCUAUUUCUCUCUUCUGUUUUUUGUUUAGUGUAUUUUGGGGCUCAGUUGGUAUGUGUUUAUUAUAUCAUUUUGAUGCAUGUGUUUAUUAUAUGUGCUUAUUAUGUGUUUAUUAUAUCAUUUUGAUGAAUUGACCCUUUCAUCAUUACAAGUCUCUGUCUUUAGUAUGUUUUAUUGUCUUAAAAUCUAUUUUAUUUAAUAUUGAUAUAGACACUUGACUUAUAUGAUGCUGUUGGCAUGCUAUAUAUUUUUUCAUUCUUUUGCUUGCAACCUAUUUGUGUUUAUGGAUCCAAAAUAUCUCUUGUAGGAAGUGUUUAAAUGAAUCUGGUUUUUUAAAAAUCUGGUCUGAUAAUGUUUAGGUCAUGCACAUUUAAUCUAGCUAUUGAUAUGCUUGGAUUUCUCUCUGCAAUUUUGUUAUUUUUUUUCUAUAUGUUUCACGUCUUCUUUGGUUGUUGUGCUUCUGGUCUUCCUUUAUUGUCUCCUUUUGUGGUAAAUAAAUUUUUCUCCAAUGU